UACGAAGGGGGCUAGCGUUGCUCGGAAUCACUGGGCUUAAAGGGCGCGUAGGCGGGCGGCCAAGUCAGAGGUGAAAGCCCCCAGCUCAACUGGGGAAGUGCCUUUGAUACUGGUCGUCUCGAGGGAGAUAGGGGCGUGCGGAACUUCCGGUGGAGCGGUGAAAUGCGUAGAUAUCGGAAGGAACACCGGUGGCGAAAGCGGCGCGCUGGAUCUCUUCUGACGCUGAGGCGCGAAAGCCCAGGGGAGCGGAACGGG
RNAcentral lists this ribosomal RNA (255 nucleotides) under uncultured bacterium. Its description in RNAcentral is "partial 16S ribosomal RNA". It matches the Rfam family "Bacterial small subunit ribosomal RNA", at positions 524 to 776 of the family's 1533-position model. The record is from RNAcentral.